RNAcentral lists this ribosomal RNA (497 nucleotides) under uncultured bacterium. Its description in RNAcentral is "partial 16S ribosomal RNA". It matches the Rfam family "Bacterial small subunit ribosomal RNA", at positions 28 to 507 of the family's 1533-position model. The record is from RNAcentral.
GUUGAACGCUGGCGGCGUGCCUAAUACAUGCCAGUCGAGCGAACGGACGAGAAGCUUGCUUUUCUGAUGUUAGCGGCGGACGGGUGAGUAACACGUGGAUAACCUACCUAUAAGACUGGGAUAACCUCGGGAAACCGGAGCUAAUACCGGAUAAUAUUUUGAACCGCAUGGUUCAAAAGUGAAAGACGGUCUUGCUGUCACUUAUAGAUGGAUCCGCGCUGCAUUAGCUAGUUGGUAAGGUAACGGCUUACCAAGGCAACGAUGCAUAGCCGACCUGAGAGGGGGAUCGGCCACACUGGAACUGAGACACGGUCCAGACUACUACGGGAGGCAGCAGUAGGGAAUCGUCCGCAAUGGGCGAAAUCCUGACGGAGCAACGCCGCGUGAGUGAUGAAGGUCUUCGGAUCGUAAAACUCUGUUAUUAGGGAAGAACAUAUGUGUAAGUAACUGUGCACAUCUUGACGGUACCUAAUCAGAAAGCCCCGGCUAACUACGUG